Molecule: long non-coding RNA, 206 nt
Filed under: Lathyrus oleraceus (garden pea)
Lineage: Eukaryota; Viridiplantae; Streptophyta; Magnoliopsida; Fabales; Fabaceae
Description: Pisum sativum (pea) long non-coding RNA (PSAT_LNC006923)
Source: RNAcentral
AGUAGAAUACGAAAUAUGGUAAGGUACCAUGGGCUUAAGUGAUUUUGGGCAUAUUAUAAGAUAUGGGCCAAAAUACACUUAAGUGGGCUUUUUAGCUUGAAGCCCACACAAGUGGUUCUAUAAAUAGAACCCUUGUGCAGAAGCAUUCAUUGCGGUUGCAUUAUUUUCGUUUUCUCACUCUCUCUCUCUCUCUCACUCAAAGCCUU